AUUGCCUCAGUAACGGCGAGUGAAGCGGCAACAGCUCAAAUUUGAAAUCUGGCUCCUUCGGGGCCCGAGUUGUAAUUUGCAGAGGAUGCUUCGGGUACGGGUUCCUUCCGAGUUCCCUGGAACGGGACGCCAUAGAGGGUGAGAGCCCCGUCUGGUAGGACACCCAGCCCGUGUGAAGCUCCCUCGACGAGUCGAGUAGUUUGGGAAUGCUGCUCUAACGGGAGGUAUACUCCUUCCAAGGCUAAAUACCGGCUGGAGACCGAUAGCGCACAAGUAGAGUGAUCGAAAGAUGAAAAGCACUUUGAAAAGAGAGUCAAAUAGCACGUGAAAUUGUUGAAAGGGAAGCGCUCGCUACCAGACAUGGGUUCGGCGGUUCAACCGGGGCCACGCCCCGGGGCACUCCGCCGGCCCAGGCCAGCAUCAGCUUUCCGUCGGGGGCAAAGGCGUCGGGAAUGUGGCUCUCCUUCGGGGGAGUGUUAUAGCCCGGCGUGUCAUACCCUUCGGGGGGCUGAGGUACGCGCUUCUGCAAGGAUGCUGGCGUAAUGGUAGCUAGUGACCCGUCUUGAAACACGGACCCCUGUGUGAAAUUG
This 590-nucleotide ribosomal RNA is filed under the name Gibellulopsis nigrescens. Its description in RNAcentral is "eukaryotic LSU rRNA". It matches the Rfam family "Eukaryotic large subunit ribosomal RNA", at positions 74 to 664 of the family's 3401-position model. The record is from RNAcentral. Lineage: Eukaryota; Fungi; Ascomycota; Sordariomycetes; Glomerellales; Plectosphaerellaceae.